GACGAACGCUGGCGGCGUGCCUAAUACAUGCAAGUAGAACGCUGAAGGAGGAGCUUGCUUCUCUGGAUGAGUUGCGAACGGGUGAGUAACGCGUAGGUAACCUGCCUGGUAGCGGGGGAUAACUAUUGGAAACGAUAGCUAAUACCGCAUAAUAGUAGAUGUUGCAUGACAUUUGCUUAAAAGGUGCAAUUGCAUCACUACCAGAUGGACCUGCGUUGUAUUAGCUAGUUGGUGAGGUAACGGCUCACCAAGGCGACGAUACAUAGCCGACCUGAGAGGGUGAUCGGCCACACUGGGACUGAGACACGGCCCAGACUCCUACGGGAGGCAGCAGUAGGGAAUCUUCGGCAAUGGACGGAAGUCUGACCGAGCAACGCCGCGUGAGUGAAGAAGGUUUUCGGAUCGUAAAGCUCUGUCGUAAGAGAAGAACGAGUGUGAGAGUGGAAAGUUCACACNGNGACGG
Molecule: ribosomal RNA, 463 nt
Filed under: uncultured bacterium
Lineage: Bacteria
Description: bacterial SSU rRNA
Rfam family: Bacterial small subunit ribosomal RNA
Source: RNAcentral